Molecule: ribosomal RNA, 386 nt
Filed under: uncultured bacterium
Lineage: Bacteria
Description: bacterial SSU rRNA
Rfam family: Bacterial small subunit ribosomal RNA
Source: RNAcentral
GAAUCAACGCUGGCGGCGUGCCUAACACAUGCAAGUCGAACGCGAAAGCCCUUUCGGGGGUUAGUAGAGUGGCGUCCGGGUGAGUAACACGUAGGUAAUCUACCUCUGGGUGGGGAAUAACUCGUCGAAAGGCGAGCUAAUACCGCAUAAUGCAGCGGCACCGAAUGGUGAUUAGUUGUUAAAGCGGGGGACCGAAAGGCCUCGCGCCUAGAGAGGAGCCUGCGGCAGAUUAGCUUGUUGGGAGGUAAUGGCUCACCAAGGCUUCGAUCUGUAGCUGGUCUGAGAGGACGGCCAGCCACACUGGCACUGACACACGGGCCAGACUCUACGGAGGCAGCAGUGGGGAAUUUUGGGCAAUGGGCGAAAAGCCUGACCCAGCAACGCCG